This 371-nucleotide ribosomal RNA is filed under the name uncultured bacterium. RNAcentral's name for it is "bacterial SSU rRNA". It matches the Rfam family "Bacterial small subunit ribosomal RNA", at positions 527 to 896 of the family's 1533-position model. The record is from RNAcentral.
GUAGGGUGCGAGCGUUAAUCGGAAUUACUGGGCGUAAAGCGUGCGCAGGCGGCGCCGCAAGUCAGGCGUGAAAUCCCCGGGCUUAACUUGGGAAUGGCGCUUGAAACUACGGUGCUGGAGUGUGGCAGAGGGAGGUGGAAUUCCACGUGUAGCGGUGAAAUGCGUAGAGAUGUGGAGGAACACCGAUGGCGAAGGCAGCCUCCUGGGCCAACACUGACGCUCAUGCACGAAAGCGUGGGGAGCAAACAGGAUUAGAUACCCUGGUAGUCCACGCCCUAAACGAUGAUGACUAGUUGUUGGGGGAGUUAAAUCCCUUAGUAACGCAGCUAACGCGUGAAGUCAUCCGCCUGGGGAGUACGGUCGCAAGAUUA